Long non-coding RNA from Parus major (Great Tit), 303 nucleotides. RefSeq lists it as uncharacterized. The record is from RefSeq and is a predicted model, not a curated record. NCBI's taxonomy places the organism in Eukaryota, Metazoa, Chordata, Aves, Passeriformes, Paridae. The transcript has 3 exons.
GGUGGAUGGUGUCUGACUAGUUAUCUGAAGGCUGAUUUAAAGAUGGCUAAGUCAAAAUGAGUUGUCCAGGAUAACAUUUUCAUGAUUAAGAAGUUAGAUUUCCUUUCUCAAGGAUUCUGCUGACUUGAUCAUAGCCAAGCUACAUUACAGAAUAGUAAGUGGAACUUGGACGACUGAUGAACUUUGGCUGAAGUAUGGCUUUAGUCUUCAUGAAAGAUUACAGCAUAACAUUUAACAUAUGGUAAAAAUGAACGUCACAAAUUUGAGUGUACUUUUCAACUUAUUUAAUUGUACCAGCUUUUG